UACGUAGGGUGCGAGCGUUAAUCGGAAUUACUGGGCGCAAAGCGUGCGCAGGCGGUGCGCCAAGCUCGAUGUGAAAGCCCCGGGCUUAACCUGGGAAUUGCAUUGAGGACUGGCGUGCUCGAGUGCGGCAGAGGGGGGUGGAAUUCCACGUGUAGCAGUGAAAUGCGUAGAGAUGUGGAGGAACACCGAUGGCGAAGGCAGCCCCCUGGGCCGACACUGACGCUCAUGCACGAAAGCGUGGGGAGCAAACAGG
RNAcentral lists this ribosomal RNA (253 nucleotides) under uncultured bacterium. RNAcentral's name for it is "partial 16S ribosomal RNA". It matches the Rfam family "Bacterial small subunit ribosomal RNA", at positions 524 to 776 of the family's 1533-position model. The record is from RNAcentral.